Molecule: ribosomal RNA, 491 nt
Filed under: uncultured bacterium
Lineage: Bacteria
Description: partial 16S ribosomal RNA
Rfam family: Bacterial small subunit ribosomal RNA
Source: RNAcentral
GUGAACGCUGGCGGUAGGCCUAACACAUGCAAGUCGAACGGCAGCACAGUAAGAGCUUGCUCUUACGGGUGGCGAGUGGCGGACGGGUGAGGAAUACAUCGGAAUCUACUUUUUCGUGGGGGAUAACGGAGGGAAACUUACGCUAAUACCGCAUACGACCUACGGGUGAAAGCAGGGGAUCUUCGGACCUUGCGCGAUUGAAUGAGCCGAUGUCGGAUUAGCUAGUUGGCGGGGUAAAGGCCCACCAAGGCGACGAUCCGUAGCUGGUCUGAGAGGAUGAUCAGCCACACUGGAACUGAGACACGGUCCAGACUCCUACGGGAGGCAGCAGUGGGGAAUAUUGGACAAUGGGCGCAAGCCUGAUCCAGCCAUACCGCGUGGGUGAAGAAGGCCUUCGGGUUGUAAAGCCCUUUUGUUGGGAAAGAAAAGCAGCAGGUUAAUACCCCGCUGUUCUGACGGUACCCAAAGAAUAAGCACCGGCUAACUUCGUG